Molecule: long non-coding RNA, 2011 nt
Organism: Dreissena polymorpha
Lineage: Eukaryota; Metazoa; Mollusca; Bivalvia; Myida; Dreissenidae
Exons: 3
Source: RefSeq, a predicted model, not a curated record
CGGAAUUAGUGUAAUAUAACCUUUAAAAAGCACAUUUACUGCAAUGUCAAGGUCACAUGGAUUCGUCUGCACGCGAGACAAGUAGAAAAUGAAUUUUAAUGAAUGUUUUGAUGAUUUGGGUGCUAAAAUAGAUGAGAGGUGUCAAUAUUUUGGUCCAAAUGGAUGUUUUAGGUGGUUUUGGACUGUCCGGAUGGGUGGGGGACCUGGUAUGGACAAGUAAGGGUAACAUUUCCAACAAAUCUUAAAUGUAAAUAUUAUUAUGUCCAUAGAUUGAAGUUUCAGGUGGAGAGCAAGAUGAAAAAUAUGCAAAAUUACAUGCAUGCAACCCAUUUAUGCCAUUUUCUCUUUGUUUGUAGGCCUGAUCGUUUGUCCUUGAGCCGUAGAUGGUCAACAAUCUGCUAGCUGUCUUGCUCUGACUGGUGCACUGGACAUGAUUUCAAUAGUCAGCCAGACCAUGAUUGAGCUUAAGGGUUGUGCUGCGGAUGCAGCCUGUGCAGUUCCGGGAGAAAGUCACUGUCUCGGGCAAUGCGGUCUGGUAUCAGGUCUGGAUGAUCCUUGCCUGACUGCGGGUUUGUGUACACCUCAAUCCGACUCUGAGUCCUGAACAGAGGCCGCAGUGGUGCAGCGCUUGUGGACGAUCCAUCAACAUCCUGAAAGGUCAACACUACACCAAGCUGGGAAAAUUGAUCCUGAUAGUCAUCCCCAGGUAGUGGAAUGAAUGUUCACUGAACUACAGAGGAAUCACACCCAAAUGACUUUCCUGCCACGACAUUAGUGUGGCCACUCGCGUAGGAGUUCCUUAGCAAACAUGCUCUUUUGCAUGGUGACUGUGGACAUUUUUGCAAAACUUACGCUUUCAGCACUGGAUUUUAAAGAGAAUACUUAAUAAAAUGUCGCUAACAGGACUUAUUUAUAUGAGAGAGACUAUCUGGAUGCGCAUUAAGUGUCACUUUGUGUCGUAAGCUGUUGAAGGAGUGAUUUGCGCCUUUUUAAGUGUUAAUUUUGGGUAGCCGGCUUGUAUCGGCUUGAAAGCUGAAAAUUAUGCCUCUCAUCAUAAUACCAUUAAUUUUUGUAAUUGCAAUGUGUAUGUUUAGAUUGUAAGUGAAGCUUUUAAUAAUAAUUUUCUUAAAAAACAUGAUUUUAUAUGCUGUCAGUGAGUUUUUUAUUGAAAAAAGUGCUUAAAAUUUAAAAAAAGUCUCCUAUUUCAUCAAGAAAAGUACACUGAUUCACAAUCAAUACAUUUAUUUGGGCCUUUUGCUGAUAUAUUGGUGAAUUUCGCAUGCAAUGAUACCAGUUUUUGCGAUGAAAGUUACGCGUAACAAUAAUUGGAGACGCAAAAUCAGCUGUCGUCACUUAGACUAAAAAUCAUGCAUUCCGACUUGACUGCGGCCAAUUUAGUCACCGCUUUUAAUGGCCAUUUUAAGGCCUUUACCCCCAUCCGAAUGCACUGAAAUUGCAUAUUCAUUGUGGAAAUAGUUGAAAUCUCAUGUGGAGAAAGUUUGAAAAAGAUAGGACAAAAUUGAGUUCCCUUAAAGGUUACAUUACACUAAAUCAUUGUGUAUCCCUCCGUGGUCCAUUCGAAAGUAGUGCCUAUUUCUAAAGAGUUCCUUUUCUCUUCUUGAAUAUAAGCCAUUUAACAAUGUGAGACAUGUCUUUUGUGGUUAUUUGUAAUAUCCUGUAUGUGUCUGGAGUACUUUGAUGCCUUGGAUUGGAAGCUAACUUAAAAGAUGAACUUUUGAGGGUGUGUUUUCUAUUGUGUGGGGCUUUUGUCGAAAUUAGGAUUCCGAAACACGUUUUUCUACGGUGGGUUCAUUCGACAGCGAUUUACUUUCUUAGAAGUUGCGAGACGGUAUGUUUUUGAUUGCAAUUAUUGGAAGAUGACAGAUCCAUCUUUAAAAUGAUACCAGGUUCGGAAAAAUUGAUACGUCGGAAAGGCAAGAAAAAUGCUGUGAAAGUUGUCAGUUUUAUAAUGGGACCCUAUGGGAAUCGGAAUUAGUGUAAUAUAACCUGA